UACGUAGGGGGCAAGCGUUGUCCGGAUUCAUUGGGCGUAAAGAGCGUGUAGGCGGCCAGGUAGGUCGGUUGUGAAAACUGGAGGCUCAACCUUCAGAGGUCGACCGAAACCAUCUGGCUAGAGUCCGGGAGAGGAGAGUGGAAUUCCUGGUGUAGCGGUGAAAUGCGCAGAUAUCAGGAAGAACACCCGUGGCGAAAGCGGCUCUCUGGAACGGUACUGACGCUGAGGCGCGAAGGCGUGGGGAGCGAACGGG
Molecule: ribosomal RNA, 253 nt
Filed under: uncultured bacterium
Lineage: Bacteria
Description: partial 16S ribosomal RNA
Rfam family: Bacterial small subunit ribosomal RNA
Source: RNAcentral